RNAcentral lists this long non-coding RNA (225 nucleotides) under Olea europaea (common olive). Its description in RNAcentral is "long non-coding RNA (OEUR_LNC011120)". The record is from RNAcentral. Lineage: Eukaryota; Viridiplantae; Streptophyta; Magnoliopsida; Lamiales; Oleaceae.
AAAGCCUUUGGUGUUGGCGCUGGACAGUUCAUGAGAAUUAGGGAAAAACAAAUGCAGGUUCGCUGGACGCUUUGGUGUUGGCGAUGGUGCUGGAUGGUUCGCUAGACGGUCGAAAGCUACAAAUUCCGUAACUUUACAGGUGCAAAGAAGUGGCGUACGAUUGCCUUUUGGUGCCAGCGUCGGAGGCUCUGAAGGAUUGGGUGCCAACGUUGGAGGCUCUGAGUG